RNAcentral lists this ribosomal RNA (443 nucleotides) under uncultured bacterium. RNAcentral describes it as "partial 16S ribosomal RNA". It matches the Rfam family "Bacterial small subunit ribosomal RNA", at positions 28 to 507 of the family's 1533-position model. The record is from RNAcentral.
GAUGGACGCUGGCGGCAUGCCUAACACAUGCAAGUCGAUCGGUAAGGCUCUUCGGAGUACCCGAGAGGCGGACGGCUGAGUAACGCGUAGGAACACACCCUGCAGUGAGGGAUAAGACACCGAAAGGUGUUCUAAUACCGCAUACGGUCUUCGGAUUAAAGCAUUUAUGCGCUGAAGGAGUGGCCUGCGUCAUAUUAGAUAGUUGGUGAGGUAAUGGCUCACCAAGUCGAUGAUGUGUAGCUGGUCUGAGAGGAUGAUCAGCCAGACUGGAACUGAGACACGGUCCAGACUCCUACGGGAGGCAGCAGUGAGGAAUAUUUCACAAUGAGCGAAAGCUUGAUGGAGCAAUGCCGCGUGCAGGAUGAAGGCCCUCGGGUUGUAAACUGCUUUUAUAAGAGAAGAUUAUGACGGUAACUUAUGAAUAAGGGACGGCUAACUACGUG